Molecule: long non-coding RNA, 2366 nt
Organism: Bos taurus (domestic cattle)
Lineage: Eukaryota; Metazoa; Chordata; Mammalia; Artiodactyla; Bovidae
Source: Ensembl
AGUAUGAGAGCCAGGCUAUAUAGGACCAGGGAGGUCUUGGAGCAGCUGUAGCUUCUUUGAUGGCCCUGAAACCCACCUGCUGAAGGCAGAGUCUUCCUGCCCAAGUCACUGCAGGUGACCAGCAGAGCCUGGAGGAGCUGGCUCUUGUUACUCCAGGCUGUCGAGUUUUGCAGGACAAACUGAAGGGAAUCCCCAGGAAGACCUUCCUAAAUGUGUAAUUCCAUAUACUGUGCCCCCUUCCCAUCCUCCAACACUGUCUCCAUAGCUCCUCUCCCUAGAUCUAGUUUGCUCAUUGACCAAAUCAGUCUUCCUCCCUGUGGACCACCGGGCCAGAGUUCCCAAGCAGGUCUUAACCUUAGCAGGGGAUUCACCACUAGUACUAGAGAUGGUUCUGGGAAGAACCCUAAUAGGGAUGUAGAGAUAAGCUGAGAAAUUGUGGGGCCUCCUCCUGCACCUCUGGUUCUCAGGAAGCUGCUCUGCUGCUCUCAGGGUUCUCCCUGCUCUGCCUUCCCCUCCUUGCUCCCCGCACAACUUAGUCCCACGGUUGUUAUAAAUGGGGUUCUCCCCCAGGGCCCCUAAGAAUCCUCCAACUCCUACCCUCAGGCCCUCUCAUUAUAUCUAAUUAUUUUUUCCUUUGUCAAGCUUUGUGUUUAAUUAGAACCACAUUCUAGCAGAGAGUAGCUCCCCAAGCCAGACCCCCAGAGGGCCCUAGGAGGAGGAACUGGUUUUCUUCUCUCGGCCUGGGGACAGCUGGGUCCUUUCCCCACCCCAUACAAUGACCAGCUGAAAGAUGCCUGGUACAGGCACGGAGUAAUCAAUCUGCAGUAAAACAUGCCUACUCAAAACGGAGACUCCUUCUCCCUGUCUCAUCCUUCCUCUUAACACCUAGAACAUCUGUUUCUUGCUCCCCCUUGCAGCUGAGGCAAGGACGGUGUGUGUCCCCAAGUUAACACAGUGUGGUUCCUCCUCUAAUUAAAGCGGGGAGUUGUUUGUCCAUGGGGGAAUUUAAUGCUCUCCUACUAGGGGUGCCACAGCUUGUUCCUUCUGCUUUAAACUACCAUAGAGUCAAUGAGACAUGUGGGCUCUAUUAUUGUCGUUCUGCCAAAAUGGCUCAAAGGACGGCAAUGACGAUGGUCGACGGUUACUCAGCAUUUAUUCCACCUUUCCAAGUAUGACUUCCUGGAUUACGGGGUCUGAUCAACUAAACUCUGUUUCUCAGACUGCCCUGAAGCAGGGAUUCUGGAUGAGGAUUUGGUUCUGCCAAUCUGAUGCACCUGAUGCAAGAAGGCAAAGGCCCUCUUCCGGCAGCUUUGGCUGUUAAGCAUCUACCUGAGAAAUCCACCCAAGAACCAGGCAUUCCAGCUCGUCCGACCUCAUGGUCUUGCCCAGAGUAAUCCUGGAACGUGCAGUGAGCGUGGCUAUGUAGACACCAUGGGUUCUGCAGCAGCCCUCCAGCGUUUUGUCACCAGUCUAGUAGGUAUCAAGAGGCAGCAGCUGUGCUGGUGGUGACAGAUUCUUGAUCCCUGCAUCCAGCUAUAGCCAUGGCCAUGUGGGUGUUUUAAUUCAUCAGCUUCAGAUUCAACCACCUGGAUGUCAUCUCCCCUGCUGGGGCAGUUCUGGGGUGCUGUUCUGGGAACUAUUACAGAGACAUCAUCUAGACCUCCUGCUUCAGCCCUUUCAACAAUUUUUUGAGCACCUAACUUCCAACAGAGGAUGGCGGAGGAUGAGAUGGUUGGAUAGCAUCAUCGACUCAACGGACAUGAGUUUGACUCCAUCUCAGAAUAAAAGGAAUGAAAACCUGGGGAAAGCAGCCAAGGAGGAAAGCCACAAAUACGCAUCUGGCUGCAGCAGACGGAGCAGCUCUGAGUGUGCAGCGAUGCACCAUGACAGCGCACUGCAGACGUGGAAGCUGCUCCCCCAGGACCGUCCCUGAGACGUGAGAGCCGCCCUGGGCGCAGUCCUCCUGCUGCCCACCCAGGCCCUGCCAAGUUUCGGCAGACCGUGCGGAACAGCAAGAGCCAUGGGAGUCAGUCAGCCAUGAGCUGGUAUUCUGACUCCACAGCCCACUGGCUGGGGCCUUGAGCAAGUUGACUUAGCUUCUCUGAGCCUCAGUUUCUUUACUGUUUACAAGGGUAACAGUAGGACUGCUGUUGUGCAGUCGCUCAGUCGUGUCUGACUCUUUUCGACCCCAAGGACUGCAGCACGCCAGGCUCCUCUGUCCUGUACUAUCUCCUGGAGUUUGCUCAAACCCAUAUCCAUUGAGUUGGUGAUGCCAUCCAACCAUCUCAUCCUCUGCCGCCCCCUGCUCCUUUUGCUUUCAACCUUUCCCAGCAUCAGUCUUUUCCGGUGGGUAGGCUCUUUGCAUC